Molecule: ribosomal RNA, 460 nt
Filed under: uncultured bacterium
Lineage: Bacteria
Description: partial 16S ribosomal RNA
Rfam family: Bacterial small subunit ribosomal RNA
Source: RNAcentral
CCUACGGGUGGCAGCAGUGAGGAAUAUUGGUCAAUGGACGCAAGUCUGAACCAGCCAUGCCGCGUGCAGGAUGACGGCUCUAUGCGUUGUAAACUGCUUUUGUACGGGGGUAAACCCCGAUACGUGUAUCGGGUUGAAAGUAUCGUACGAAUAAGGAUCGGCUAACUCCGUGCCAGCAGCCGCGGUAAUACGGAGGAUGCGAGCGUUAUCCGGAUUUAUUGGGUUUAAAGGGUGCGUAGGCGGGUUGAUAAGUUAGCGGUGAAAUGGCGGGGCUCAACCCCGAAACUGCCUCUAAUACUGGGGGCGUAGAGAAGAGUGGCGGUAGGCGGAAUGGGUGGUGUAGCGGUGAAAUGCCUAGAGAUCAUACAGAACACCGAUUGCGAAGGCAGCUUACCAAACUAUAACUGACGUUGAGGCACGAAAGCGUGGGGAGCAAACAGGAUUAGAUACCCUGGUAGUC